RNAcentral lists this ribosomal RNA (115 nucleotides) under Danio rerio (zebrafish). The record is from RNAcentral. Lineage: Eukaryota; Metazoa; Chordata; Actinopteri; Cypriniformes; Danionidae.
GCCUUCAGCUAUCCCUCUGCAACUCUCAAAUGGUUGCCAGCUGAAGCUAAACAGGGCCACGCCCGGUCAUUACCUGGAUGGGAGACCACAUAGGAAAGCUAGGUUGCUGUGGGAA